This 452-nucleotide ribosomal RNA is filed under the name uncultured bacterium. RNAcentral describes it as "bacterial SSU rRNA". It matches the Rfam family "Bacterial small subunit ribosomal RNA", at positions 28 to 492 of the family's 1533-position model. The record is from RNAcentral.
GACGAACGCUGGCGGCGUGCUUAACACAUGCAAGUCGAACGGUGACCCAGGGCUUGCCCUGGUGAUCAGUGGCGAACGGGUGAGUAACACGUGGGGCAACCUGCCCCUGACUUCGGGAUAACUCCUCGAAAGAGGAGCUAAUACCGGAUACGACCACUUCGGACAUCCGAUGGUGGUGGAAAGUUUUUCGGUCAGGGAUGGGGCCCGCGGCCUAUCAGCUAGUUGGUGGGGUAAUGGCCUACCAAGGCGACGACGGGUAGCCGGCCUGAGAGGGCGACCGGCCACACUGGGACUGAGACACGGCCCAGACUCCUACGGGAGGCAGCAGUGGGGAAUAUUGCGCAAUGGGCGAAAGCCUGACGCAGCGACGCCGCGUGAGGGAUGAAGGCCUUCGGGUUGUAACCUCUUUCAGCAGGGACGAAGCGAAAGUGACGGUACCUGCAGAAGAAGCA